RNAcentral lists this ribosomal RNA (253 nucleotides) under uncultured prokaryote. RNAcentral describes it as "partial 16S ribosomal RNA". It matches the Rfam family "Bacterial small subunit ribosomal RNA", at positions 525 to 777 of the family's 1533-position model. The record is from RNAcentral.
ACAGAGGUCUCAAGCGUUGUUCGGAUUCAUUGGGCGUAAAGGGUGCGUAGGUGGCAAGGUAAGUCGGGUGUGAAAUCCCGGGGCUCAACCCUGGAACUGCACUCGAUACUGCCAUGCUCGAGUACUGGAGAGGAGACUGGAAUUUACGGUGUAGCAGUGAAAUGCGUAGAUAUCAAGAGGAACACCUGUGGCGAAGGCGAGUCCCUGGACGAUACCUGACACUGAGGCACGAAAGCUAGGGGAGCAAACAGGA